UCACUGAUAACAUCUCUCUGACCGGCCGGAUAUCUCUGUUGUGAUUUUUCGGUGUUGCGUUAAAUAGUAAUUCAUAGAACAAAUAAACAGAACAUCAUAACAAUUAAGGAUAGGAAAAAGGUGUGAAACUGUACCUUAACAGGAGUAAGUACUGUGAUAGGAGAAGUCACACACAGGAAUACUUUGAUUGUCAACGAUGAUCAUUGGCGAGUAUCUUGAUAAUUUGAUCGAAUCUUGAUAAGCUUACGUCGCCUACAAUCGUUUUCUUUUAAAGCUUUGCAUAACUCAAGAUGAGAGAUUAUUAAAAAAAUACUAUUAUGACAAUUAUUAUUAAGGGUGUAUAUCGGUAAAAUUGAGUAAAAAUUUAAUAAAAUAGAAUCUUACGUA
Molecule: long non-coding RNA, 387 nt
Organism: Ooceraea biroi (clonal raider ant)
Lineage: Eukaryota; Metazoa; Arthropoda; Insecta; Hymenoptera; Formicidae
Source: RefSeq, a predicted model, not a curated record